Molecule: non-coding RNA, 32 nt
Filed under: Mus musculus (house mouse)
Lineage: Eukaryota; Metazoa; Chordata; Mammalia; Rodentia; Muridae
Source: RNAcentral
UNGGUGUUGCCCGAAGGCACUUUCGUAAGCUG